CAAGAAGCGAUAAGGCUACUCUAAAACCAUUGCGAACUAUCCAAGUGCUCGGCGGGGCUCCCUCACGGCGGACCGCAGCCCCUGCCUCUCAGGAGGUAAGGGAAGCCGGGUACGAAACUCUUGUUAUUAUAGUGGUAUCUCUGAGUACUUAUUAACAAUAAGUA
Molecule: unclassified non-coding RNA, 164 nt
Filed under: soil metagenome
Description: partial internal transcribed spacer 1
Source: RNAcentral